Molecule: long non-coding RNA, 471 nt
Organism: Rosa rugosa (rugosa rose)
Lineage: Eukaryota; Viridiplantae; Streptophyta; Magnoliopsida; Rosales; Rosaceae
Exons: 4
Source: RefSeq, a predicted model, not a curated record
AGCAGCCGAGAAAAAAAGAGAGAGAGAGGGUACGUAUCGGUACAACCCAGCUACAACCGAUUAUUACAUCAAUGUUUUCCUCCAUGAUCGAGAGAUAGAGUCGUCGUUUGGAGGAGUUUUUGAUGGUGCAACCCAGACGGAGCUUUGUUUCUUGUAAUUUGCGAAUUUGGAUUUUGAUCAAGGAAUAGAUUCGGCAAAGAAGACCUCAUUUGUGGGGUUAUGGAAUGGGCGGUAGGAGAGGAUCAAGAGCAUAUUGGAGGUACAGGUCAUACUAGAGAUGCCUCUGAAUUUGUAUUAGAUCUUUUGUAAUGUCAAGAGAGUGCCAUGUAGGGUUAAUUGAAUUGUGUAAGAUUAAGGAUCCUAUCCUUGGGUUACUUCCUUAAUUAUAUCUUUCUUCAUGUUCUAAACUUCUUCAUUUCAAACAAUUCCAAUUGUUAUUAAAAUAUAAGAGUAUAUCAAAAUUGUAAUGUA